UGGGGCGUAGCCAAGCGGUAAGGCAACGGGUUUUGGUUCCGUCAUCCGAAGGUUCAAGUCCUUCCGCCCCAGCCA
RNAcentral lists this transfer RNA (75 nucleotides) under Mailhella sp. RNAcentral describes it as "tRNA-Gln". It matches the Rfam family "tRNA". From Rfam's summary of the family: Transfer RNA (tRNA) molecules are approximately 80 nucleotides in length. The record is from RNAcentral. RNAcentral also lists the same sequence under 2 other names. Lineage: Bacteria; Pseudomonadati; Thermodesulfobacteriota; Desulfovibrionia; Desulfovibrionales; Desulfovibrionaceae.